UACAGAGGGGGCAAGCGUUAUUCGGAUUCAUUGGGCGUAAAGGGUGCGUAGGCGGCGCGGUAAGUCGGGUGUGAAAUCUCGGAGCUUAACUCCGAAACUGCAUUCGAUACUGCCGUGCUUGAGGACUGGAGAGGAGACUGGAAUUUACGGUGUAGCGGUGAAAUGCGUAGAUAUCGUAAGGAAGACCAGUGGCGAAGGCGGGUCUCUGGACAGUUCCUGACGCUGAGGCACGAAGGUCAGGGUAGCAAACGGG
This 253-nucleotide ribosomal RNA is filed under the name uncultured bacterium. Its description in RNAcentral is "partial 16S ribosomal RNA". It matches the Rfam family "Bacterial small subunit ribosomal RNA", at positions 524 to 776 of the family's 1533-position model. The record is from RNAcentral.